Molecule: ribosomal RNA, 924 nt
Filed under: uncultured Acidobacteriaceae bacterium
Lineage: Bacteria; Pseudomonadati; Acidobacteriota; Terriglobia; Terriglobales; Acidobacteriaceae
Description: bacterial SSU rRNA
Rfam family: Bacterial small subunit ribosomal RNA
Source: RNAcentral
UGCAAGUCGAACGAGAAAGUGGAGCAAUCCAUGAGUACAGUGGCGUACGGGUGAGUAACACGUGGGUAAUCUACCUUUUAGUGAGGAAUAACCGAGGGAAACUUUGGCUAAUACCGCAUAAGCCCUGAUCAUAAAGAGGAAGGGGAAAGCAGAAAUGCGCUGAAAGAGGAGCCCGCGGCCGAUUAGCUAGUUGGUGGGGUAAGAGCCUACCAAGGCAGAGAUCGGUAGCCGGCCUGAGAGGGCACACGGCCACACUGGCACUGAAACACGGGCCAGACUCCUACGGGAGGCAGCAGUGGGGAAUCUUGCACAAUGGGGGCAACCCUGAUGCAGCGACGCCGCGUGAGCGAUGAAGCCCUUCGGGGUGUAAAGCUCUUUCGUCAGGGAAGAUAGUGACGGUACCUGGAGAAGCAGCUGCGGCUAACUACGUGCCAGCAGCCGCGGUAAUACGUAGGCAGCAAGCGUUGUUCGGAGUUACUGGGCGUAAAGGGUGUGUAGGCGGUUCUUUAAGUUUGGUGUGAAAUCUCCCGGCUUAACCGGGAGGGUGCGCCGAAUACUGAGGGACUAGAGUACGGGAGAGGAAAGUGGAAUUCCUGGUGUAGCGGUGAAAUGCGUAGAUAUCAGGAGGAACACCGGUGGUGUAGACGGCUUUCUGGACCGUAACUGACGCUGAGACACGAAAGCGUGGGUAGCAAACAGGAUUAGAUACCCUGGUAGUCCACGCCCUAAACAAUGCAUAUUUGGUGUGGGCAGUUCAUUCUGUCCGUGCCGGAGCUAACGCGUUAAAUAUGCCGCCUGGGGAGUACAGUCGCAAGGCUGAAACUCAAAGGAAUUGACGGGGGCCCGCACAAGCGGUGGAGCAUGUGGUUCAAUUCGACGCAACGCGAAGAACCUUACCUGGGCUCGAACGGCUUCUCAACGCCG